AUUGAACGCUGGCGGCAGGCCUAACACAUGCAAGUCGAGCGGAUGAAGGGAGCUUGCUCCUGGAUUCAGCGGCGGACGGGUGAGUAAUGCCUAGGAAUCUGCCUGGUAGUGGGGGAUAACGUCCGGAAACGGGCGCUAAUACCGCAUACGUUCUGAGGGAGAAAGUGGGGGAUCUUCGGACCUCAAGCUAUCAGAUGAGCCUAGGUCGGAUUAGCUAGUUGGUGGGGUAAAGGCUUACCAAGGCGACGAUCCGUAACUGGUCUGAGAGGAUGAUCAGUCACACUGGAACUGAGACACGGUCCAGACUCCUACGGGAGGCAGCAGUAGGGAAUAUUGGACAAUGGGCGAAAGCCUGAUCCAGCCAUGCCGCGUGUGUGAAGAAGGUCUUCGGAUUGUAAAACACUUUAAUUUGGGAAGAACAGCAGUAAGUUAAUACCUUGCUGUUUUGACGUUACCAACAGAAUAAGCACCGGCUAACUUCGUG
This 484-nucleotide ribosomal RNA is filed under the name uncultured bacterium. RNAcentral describes it as "partial 16S ribosomal RNA". It matches the Rfam family "Bacterial small subunit ribosomal RNA", at positions 30 to 507 of the family's 1533-position model. The record is from RNAcentral.